Molecule: small nuclear RNA, 118 nt
Organism: Cercocebus atys (sooty mangabey)
Lineage: Eukaryota; Metazoa; Chordata; Mammalia; Primates; Cercopithecidae
Gene: U5
Rfam family: U5 spliceosomal RNA
About the family: U5 RNA is a component of both types of known spliceosome.
Source: Ensembl
UCAUUAUGGUUUCUCUUCAGAACAAAUAAAUCUUUUGCCUUUUAUUAAAGAUUUCCACGAAGAGGAACAGAUGUGAGUUAGUAAGCAAAUUUUUUGAAGUCCUGCUUUGAGCAGGGCC